CGGGAAUAUUGGAUAAUGGGGGUAACCCUGAUCCAGUAAUACCGCGUGUGUGAAGAAGGCCUGCGGGUUGUAAAGCACUUUUAGUGGGGAAGAUAAUGAUGUUACCCACAGAAAAAGCAUCGGCUAACUCCGUGCCAGCAGUCGCGGUAAUACGGAGGGUGCAAGCGUUAAUCGGAAUUACUGGGCGUAAAGCGUGCGUAGGCGGCUCUUUAAGUCGGAUGUGAAAUCCCCGGGCUUAACCUGGGAAUUGCAUCCGAUACUGGGGAGCUAGAAUGUGGGAGAGGGAAGUGGAAUUUCCGGUGUAGCGGUGAAAUGCAUAGAGAUCGGAAGGAACAUUAGUGGUGAAGGCGAUUUUUUGGACCAACAUUGACGCUGAGGCACGAAAGCGUGGGUAGCAAAC
RNAcentral lists this ribosomal RNA (400 nucleotides) under uncultured bacterium. Its description in RNAcentral is "bacterial SSU rRNA". It matches the Rfam family "Bacterial small subunit ribosomal RNA", at positions 356 to 773 of the family's 1533-position model. The record is from RNAcentral.